AGUGAACGCUGGCGGCGUGCUUAACACAUGCAAGUCGAACGAGAACGGAAUAUAGCUUGCUAUAUUUGUCAGCUAAGUGGCGCACGGGUGAGUAAUGUAUAGAUAACCUGCCCUUAAGAAAGGAAUAACAGUUGGAAACGACUGCUAAUGCCCUAUAUGCCUUUAAUACAUAAGUAUGAAAGGGAAACGCUUUAGUGCUUAAGGAUGGGUCUGUAUGGUAUCAGCUUGUUGGUGAGGUAAUGGCUCACCAAGGCUAUGACGCCUAACUGGUUUGAGAGGAUGAUCAGUCACACUGGAACUGAGACACGGUCCAGACUCCUACGGGAGGCAGCAGUGGGGAAUAUUGCACAAUGGACGAAAGUCUGAUGCAGCAACGCCGCGUGGAGGAUGACACAUUUCGGUGCGUAAACUCCUUUUAUAUAGGAAGAAAAUGACGGUACUAUAUGAAUAAGCACCGGCUAACUCCGCGCCAGCCGCCGCCGUA
RNAcentral lists this ribosomal RNA (484 nucleotides) under uncultured bacterium. RNAcentral's name for it is "partial 16S ribosomal RNA". It matches the Rfam family "Bacterial small subunit ribosomal RNA", at positions 29 to 522 of the family's 1533-position model. The record is from RNAcentral.